This 254-nucleotide ribosomal RNA is filed under the name uncultured bacterium. RNAcentral describes it as "partial 16S ribosomal RNA". It matches the Rfam family "Bacterial small subunit ribosomal RNA", at positions 524 to 776 of the family's 1533-position model. The record is from RNAcentral.
UACGUAGGGGGCGAGCGUUGUCCGAAGUUACUGGGCGUAAAGCGCGCGUAGGCGGUCAUUUAAGUCUGAGGUGAAAGGUUCAGCGCUCAACGUGAACAGUGCCUUGGAUACUGGGUGACUUGAGUUCGGGAGGGGGCAGUGGAAUUCCAGGUGUAGCGGUGAAAUGCGUAGAUAUUGGGAGGAACACCGGUGGCGAAGGCGGCUACCUGGACCGGUUCUGACGCUGAUGCGCGAAAGCGUGGGUAGCAAACAGG